Helianthus annuus (common sunflower) is the source of this 671-nucleotide long non-coding RNA. RefSeq lists it as uncharacterized. The record is from RefSeq and is a predicted model, not a curated record. NCBI's taxonomy places the organism in Eukaryota, Viridiplantae, Streptophyta, Magnoliopsida, Asterales, Asteraceae. The transcript is spliced from 2 exons.
GAAAAUGUCAAAAGUUGGUAUCGAAUCGGUACCGAAAAGGUACCCGGUACGGUAAAUUCGGUACCGGUACCGUUCGGUACCGGGUCCAUUUUGCUCAUCCCUAAUAAUACCCAUGUUUCACCCUUGGCCAGCAUCAUCAUGCUACCAUCACCAUCAUCCUUUAACCCCAACCCAUCUCUCUAUGUGCUCGUAUUCCUCAAAUACCACCACCACCAUCGUUCCUCCUCCACCACUGCCACCCAUCGUCGAUAACACCGCCCCCACUACAAGCAGAUACGAGGGCGUAAACCUAAAUCUGGAGUCCCUUACUUCCAAAAACCACCACUAUCAACUGCGUCGCCGCCGUAAAUCACCUGUUCACAUCGUUAAAAAAGUUGAAAACCCCCUUUGUUUCUCCGUCUAGAUAUUAAAAGACGCAAGUUUAAAUGUUCUUUGUGGGGAUACAUAUGAGAGUGAAGUUUUGUUCGGAUAUUGAUGAAUGUACAUCGGUGGUUGCGUUGAGCGGUGAUAGGGGAAUACGAGCACACACACAGAGAUGGGUUAGAUUUAAUUGAGAUGGUGGUGGUAGCAUGAUGAUGAUGGUAAGGGUGAAACAUGGGUAUUAUAGUCUUUUAAUAUUAUUGUUUUUUUUUAAUUUUUGAAAUACCAAAGGUAUUAUAGUCUUUUUAUCA